This 687-nucleotide ribosomal RNA is filed under the name Pantoea sp. WMus005. Its description in RNAcentral is "partial 23S ribosomal RNA". It matches the Rfam family "Bacterial large subunit ribosomal RNA", at positions 1 to 720 of the family's 2925-position model. Lineage: Bacteria; Pseudomonadati; Pseudomonadota; Gammaproteobacteria; Enterobacterales; Erwiniaceae. The record is from RNAcentral.
GGGUUGUGAGGUUAAGCGACUAAGCGUACACGGUGGAUGCCCAGGCAGUCAGAGGCGAUGAAGGACGUGCUAAUCUGCGUAAAGCGACGGUAAGGUGAUAUGAACCGCUACAGCCGUCGAUGUCCGAAUGGGGAAACCCGGUGCACUCUGUGCAUCAUUGCAGCAUGAAUACAUAGUGCUGCAAGGCGAACCGGGGGAACUGAAACAUCUAAGUACCCCGAGGAAAAGAAAUCAACCGAGAUUCCCCCAGUAGCGGCGAGCGAACGGGGAGCAGCCCAGAGCCUGAAUCAGCAUGUGUGUUAGUGGAAGCGUCUGGAAAGUCGCAGGGUACAGGGUGAUACUCCCGUACACAAAAGCACAUAUGCUGUGAGCUCGAUGAGUAAGGCGGGACACGUGGUAUCCUGUCUGAAUAUGGGGGGACCAUCCUCCAAGGCUAAAUACUCCUGACUGACCGAUAGUGAACCAGUACCGUGAGGGAAAGGCGAAAAGAACCCCGGCGAGGGGAGUGAAACAGAACCUGAAACCGUGUACGUACAAGCAGUGGGAGCCUUGAUUUAUCAGGGUGACUGCGUACCUUUUGUAUAAUGGGUCAGCGACUUAUAUUCUGUAGCAAGGUUAACCGUAUAGGGGAGCCGCAGGGAAACCGAGUCUUAACUGGGCGUUAAGUUGCAGGGUAUAGACCCGAAA